Molecule: non-coding RNA, 405 nt
Organism: Labrus bergylta (ballan wrasse)
Lineage: Eukaryota; Metazoa; Chordata; Actinopteri; Labriformes; Labridae
Source: RefSeq, a predicted model, not a curated record
GACUGAAGAGUCCAAACUCUAGACUGGAGACUCUGAGUAAAAAAAGAAGAAAAAAGGUCGGCUGCUGAAUUUCCUUUUUGGUCAAGUUGGCAGUUUAUCUCAGUAGAAAAGAAAGAAUGGAAAGAGGACAGAGAUGUGAUUGUGUUGUGGUGUUUCGGAACCUUGUUAAAUCUCGAAUAUUGUUGGAACACAAGUAUUAUUUUAAAAUGGAAGAGCUGGAUGUUUUUGAAAAAAUAUGGGACGAUGAUGGUGUACUCUUUUCUUUGAAAGACUCUGAAAUCAUAUUUGCAGAUGUUUUCAUAUAAAUCCAUAUUUUUGUGACAUAUUGUAGUUUGUGACAGUAUCCCAACAAUGGGAAUGUAAAUACAUUUUUAUCAGAAUAAAUGAAGUUUUAAAAACUCAAAA